GCAGUAGCUAGGCUAUCUCACUCUGACACUAUCAACCGCCAUACUUUGCACCGCAUGGGUUUUUUCAAAACUGAUGGUGGUUGGACAAAAGGUGUGGAAGAGAGAGCUGAGGACAGAGUAGAGGAGGAAGGACCAUCCUCACCCCUCUGUGAUCACAGGGUUGUAUCUCCAAAUAUUUAGUUUAUUUCUAAUCAUGAGGCUAGCCCGUCAGAGUCUGCAAGGAGGCAUACUUCAGUUCA
This 239-nucleotide long non-coding RNA is filed under the name Elaeis guineensis (African oil palm). Its description in RNAcentral is "long non-coding RNA (EGUI_LNC066717)". The record is from RNAcentral. Lineage: Eukaryota; Viridiplantae; Streptophyta; Magnoliopsida; Arecales; Arecaceae.